AAGGGAGUGAAAAAAACUGUCCCUUUGAGUUGAUUUCCGGAAUUAGUAUUCCAGGAAUAUCUUUCCACCCUCGGGGGUGGAAGAAUUUUUCCGGAGAAGAAAAUAUGGCCGUUCUCCUUCGAGGAAGAAAGAAGGGGACGGCAGUGCGAAGGAUUCCGCAGUAGCUCUUCCGCAGAUUAGCGGAGUUGCGGGAGAGGCUUUCUCUUCGUCGCCCCCUUCAUCUGCUUUCCUCUUCUCUCCCCCGGGCGCCUCCGCCGACGGCAACAGAGAUCCUAUGCUGUCAUCUCUUUCAUAGCAGCAGCAUGCUUGCUGCCAUCUUUGUCCAUAGCCGUACUGCAACACACGACCCUUCAAUGGUUUUAGAUUCUUAACAUGGCACACAAUAGAUCAGAAAUUGAACGCAGAGUUCAUGCUGUAAUUGACAAGUUUGCGGAACAUGGACUUCGAUCCCUUGCAGUUGCAUAUCAGCUGACGGCUUCGCAGCCUCCGCUUCAGCCUUCAAGGAUCCUGCCUGCAGCCAAGAGAGCAAGCAGCAAGCUUCCUGCCUGCAUGAAGUUCUCUCUCUCUCUUGCUUUCGUUUUUGCAUUUUCAUUUUUUAUAACAUUGCCGGUCGGGGUGUCACUUCAUCUUUCUGUUUGAGGUUCGGUGGGGGUGUCGCUUCAGCUUUCUGUUUGAGGUGUUGUGACUAUGAUAUUUAUGCUCUCCACUGUUCGCUUACUAUGUUGGCCAUUUCUAAUGGUCGGCUUUUCUUGCUUCUUGGUGCUGCUUCAAAGAAUGUUGUUACAAGAUUCUUGGUAUUAUUUGUUUCUAUAUCUGAGGUAUAUAUUGCAUUUCUGUUUCCCAGUGUAUCCUUUGUUGCAGCUCUAGGUUUCCUUCUUUAUGGAGGGAGGUAAUAUUUUAUUUUUCUCUCGGUCUUUGUUCUUCAUUUCAAAAUGAGAAUGGCAUAUAUGGUAUCUAUUCCUCUAAGUAGAUCUUAGGUUAAGAUCUCUCGUGGUCCUUCGGUUCGCAAAACUUUAGCGCAGGAGGUAAAGACUUUUGGCGCAUCAACAGUUAUAGUUGGUGCAUCCAAGAAGAACACCCUUGGAGUUGGGUACAACCAGAUACAUUGUGUUUUCCUUUGUCCGGCACUUUUAUUUUCUAAUUGUUGUUAUAUUUUGUUCAUCUUCCAGGUCCUCUGUUUCAAUUGCUCGAUAUUGUGCUAGACAAUUACCAAAAAGCUGUUCAAUUUUGGCUGUCAGUAAUGGAGAAGUUAUGUUUCAAAGAGAAGCAUCGGCAUUAAAUCGUCAAGGCUCCUUUUUGCAGUUUAAAGCAGUUCAUUCGUAUGAUGAUACUUGCAGUUCUUAGUCAUUCACUGAAUGUAUUCUGCUUUAAAUUGAACACAGGCUAUUUAUGAUGUUGAGGCGCUUUCCUAUUGAAUCCAAGGGUCGAAGGAAAAAGCUUCAUGAGAGCUAAGACCCUGAUUGACUCUUUGUUGCUCCUCCAGCACAUUUGCUUCACAGGCAGCAAGUAAUGUGCUAGCAAUCUUUCCAGUCCAGUGCUGCUGGAACCAUCUAGGAAGCUUAACAAGAACUUUUCAAGCUCAUCAAACUUGCUACUUCUCCAACGAGGAUCACAAGAUAAGACUAACCGGUCAAGUACGCCAUCAUCAGUAGAUGCUGAAAGUUGAAAGUUUUGCUUCAAGUGCAGAACGUGCAGAGACAGGAUAUAGUAUUACAUCUUCUGUGUUCAACAGCUGUUGAGCAUCCUCCUCAACCUACAUGCAUCAAAUGUGCUUUCAAUUAUACACAUGAAAGCAUCGGCAGUUUCUAGUUUUCUGAACUCUAAAAGAAAUGGUUGCAGACAAAUAUUGUUUCAGGCAGAAAUUAGAGAAUGAAAUUGGUAACACGUGAUGCACGAUGGCUGUAGAAAACUUAACCUCCUGAGGACUCUUAUAGAUAUCGGCGUUGUUUAGAAUAUGACUUUGGUUUAAUAACUGCAGUAGUUUUUGGUUUUUAAUUUGACAUUGAUUAUGCCACUAUUAGUACUGUAAUUGAGUUUGUCGAGCUUUAAUCAAGUUGAUAUAUUCAAA
Long non-coding RNA from Nymphaea colorata (pocket water lily), 2068 nucleotides. RefSeq lists it as uncharacterized. The record is from RefSeq and is a predicted model, not a curated record. The transcript is spliced from 4 exons. Lineage: Eukaryota; Viridiplantae; Streptophyta; Magnoliopsida; Nymphaeales; Nymphaeaceae.